RNAcentral lists this ribosomal RNA (447 nucleotides) under Cardinium endosymbiont of Bemisia tabaci. Its description in RNAcentral is "bacterial SSU rRNA". It matches the Rfam family "Bacterial small subunit ribosomal RNA", at positions 215 to 659 of the family's 1533-position model. The record is from RNAcentral. Lineage: Bacteria; Pseudomonadati; Bacteroidota; Cytophagia; Cytophagales; Amoebophilaceae.
GCUGUGUAAAAUGAGCUUGCGUCCUAUUAGCUAGUUGGUGAGGUAAUGGCUCACCAAGGCUACGAUGGGUAGGGGUUCUUAGUGGAAGGUCCCCCACACUGGCACUGAGAUACGGGCCAGACUCCUACGGGAGGCAGCAGUAGGGAAUAUUGGUCAAUGGGCGCAAGCCUGAACCAGCCAUGCCGCGUGCAGGAUGAAGGCUCUCUGAGUUGUAAACUGCUUUUGUACAGGAGCAAAAAAAUCCCUGCGGGGGUUCUUGAGAGUACUGUAAGAAUAAGCACCGGCUAAUUCCGUGCCAGCAGCCGCGGUAAUACGGGAGGUGCAAGCGUUAUCCGGUUUUAUUGGGUUUAAAGGGUGCGUAGGCGGCUUAUUAAGUCAGUUGUGAAAUCCUAGUGCUUAACGCUAGAACUGCGAUUGAUACUAUUAGGCUUGAGUUAAGAAAGAGGU